UCCGCGCGGAAGAUGUAACGGGGCUAAGCGAUGUACCGAAGCUGCGGGUGCAUAGCAAUAUGCGCGGUAGAGGAGCGUUCCGUAAGCCUGCGAAGGUGACUCGUAAGGGUUGCUGGAGGUAUCGGAAGUGCGAAUGCUGACAUGAGUAACGAUAAUGCAGGUGAAAAACCUGCACGCCGUAAGCCCAAGGUUUCCUGCGCAACGAUUUUCGGCGCAGGGUAAGUCGGAUCCUAAGGCGAGGCCGAAAGGCGUAGUCGAUGGGAAUGCAGUGAAUAUUCUGCAGCCAGUGGAUGGUGACGAAUCCCGUAUGUUGUCCGACCUUAAUGGAUUGGUUGGGCCUCGAAGGGGUUCCAGGAAAUAGCCUCCACAUCAGAUCGUACCCGAAACCGACACAGGUGGACUGGUAGAGUAUACCAAGGCGCUUGAGAGAACUAUGUUGAAGGAACUCGGCAAUUUACCUCCGUAACUUCGGGAUAAGGAGGCCCAUUGCUCGCGCAAGCGGGCAGUGGGGGCACAGACCAGG
RNAcentral lists this ribosomal RNA (523 nucleotides) under Aplanochytrium stocchinoi. RNAcentral's name for it is "partial Bacterial large subunit ribosomal RNA". It matches the Rfam family "Bacterial large subunit ribosomal RNA", at positions 1158 to 1790 of the family's 2925-position model. The record is from RNAcentral. Lineage: Eukaryota; Bigyra; Thraustochytrida; Thraustochytriidae.